Molecule: unclassified non-coding RNA, 240 nt
Filed under: uncultured fungus
Lineage: Eukaryota; Fungi
Description: partial contains 5.8S rRNA and ITS2
Source: RNAcentral
AACGCACAUUGCGCCCCUUGGUAUUCCGGAGGGCAUGCCUGUCCGAGCGUCAUUACAACCCUCAAGCUCUGCCUGGCAUUGGGCUCUGCUGCUUCAGCAGGCUCUACAGUCAGUGGCGGUGCUGUCUAGCGCCAAGCGUAGUAAGUCUUCUCACUUUGGAGACCUAGGCAUGUGCUUGCCAACAACUCCCAAUUUUUACAGGUUGACCUCGGAUCAGGUAGGGAUACCCGCUGAACUUAA